UUCCAGACUCCUACGGGAGGCAGCAGUGAGGAAUAUUGGUCAAUGGACGGAAGUCUGAACCAGCCAUGCCGCGUGCAGGAAGACGGCUCUAUGAGUUGUAAACUGCUUUUGUACAAGGGUAAACCUGAAUACGUGUAUUCAGCUGAAAGUACUGUACGAAUAAGGAUCGGCUAACUCCGUGCCAGCAGCCGCGGUAAUACGGAGGAUCCAAGCGUUAUCCGGAUUUAUUGGGUUUAAAGGGUGCGUAGGCGGUCCGGAAAGUCAGGGGAAAAAGCGCGGGGCUCACCCCCGGCGAGCCGUUGAAACUGUCGGACUAGAGACGGCGAGAAGUACGCGGAAUGCGCGGUGUAGCGGUGAAAUGCAUAGAUAUCGCGCAGAACUCCGAUUGCGAAGGCAGCGUACCGGCGCCGGACUGACGCUGAGGCACGAAAGCGUGGGUAUCGAACAGGAUUAGAUACCCCAGUAA
This 466-nucleotide ribosomal RNA is filed under the name uncultured bacterium. RNAcentral's name for it is "bacterial SSU rRNA". It matches the Rfam family "Bacterial small subunit ribosomal RNA", at positions 329 to 793 of the family's 1533-position model. The record is from RNAcentral.